This 92-nucleotide transfer RNA is filed under the name Bacteroides sp. RNAcentral describes it as "tRNA-Ser". It matches the Rfam family "tRNA". Rfam says of the family: Transfer RNA (tRNA) molecules are approximately 80 nucleotides in length. Their secondary structure includes four short double-helical elements and three loops (D, anti-codon, and T loops). The record is from RNAcentral. Lineage: Bacteria; Pseudomonadati; Bacteroidota; Bacteroidia; Bacteroidales; Bacteroidaceae.
GGAAAGAUGCCAGAGUGAUCGAAUGGACCGGACUCGAAAUCCGGCGAACGGCUUUUGCUGUUCCGUGGGUUUGAAUCCCACUCUUUCCGCCA